GGCUCUUACCACUUUUGGCAUCUGUAAUGUGCUCCCCUCAUUUUCCUUGAUAGAUAAAGUCUUUCUGCAAUCUCACUUAAAGUGUUGUUGCCAAAUUAAGGACCUUGACAAACCCUGUGGAGCUCAUAAACCGCUUGAGAUCCUUUAAAGAGAAUGUUUUUUCUUCAUCCCCAUAUCCUGUUAUAAUUACUCUUGAAGACCACCUGACACCAGAUCUUCAGGCUAAAGUAGCUAAGAAUGAUAGUGAUGCAAGUGAAGAUGAUGUCGAUGAUCAAGAGCGGCUUUCAGAAGCAUCUGACAAUAGGAGCCUAAUUGCCAUUCAUGUUUAAAACUAAGCGCCUUUGUUCAAGAAGCUGGCUUGCAGAGAUUGUUGAACCUUUCGCUGGCCAUUGUAGACAUAUAUACUUCUGGUGAUGCGAUCCUCGCAGAAUAGUCGAAUUGUUACUUUGUUUGCAGAGUAAAGGUUUGAGUGUGUGUGUGUUUAUACAUAUAUGUUCUGCACAUGUUAAUCCCAUCCUCGCUCUUUACAAUUUGUAGGUAUCUGAAGAUACAAGUGAGUUGUGAAACACUUGAUUGUAUAAAAUAGGCCAAAGGACUAUUUCCCACCCAAAGUAUGCA
Mangifera indica (mango) is the source of this 618-nucleotide long non-coding RNA. RefSeq lists it as uncharacterized. The transcript is spliced from 3 exons. The record is from RefSeq and is a predicted model, not a curated record. Lineage: Eukaryota; Viridiplantae; Streptophyta; Magnoliopsida; Sapindales; Anacardiaceae.